RNAcentral lists this ribosomal RNA (722 nucleotides) under uncultured bacterium. Its description in RNAcentral is "bacterial SSU rRNA". It matches the Rfam family "Bacterial small subunit ribosomal RNA", at positions 61 to 779 of the family's 1533-position model. The record is from RNAcentral.
GUCGAACGGAUAUCUUCGGAUAUGAGUGGCGAACGGGUGAGUAACACGUAGGGAACCUGCCUGCAUGAGCGGGAGAACUUCUGGAAACGGAAGCUGAUACCGGAUGAGCAAAGAGGAGGCAUCUUCUUUUUGGAAAAGGGGACAAGAGUCCCGCAUGCAGAUGGACCUGCGGUGCAUUAGCUGGUUGGAGAGGUAACGGCUCACCAAGGCGACGAUGCAUAGCCGGCCUGAGAGGGCGGACGGCCACACUGGGACUGAGACACGGCCCAGACUCCUGCGGGAGGCAGCAGUAGGGAAUUUUCGUCAAUGGGGGGAACCCUGAACGAGCAAUGCCGCGUGAGCGAGGAAGGUCUUCGGAUCGUAAAGCUCUGUUGCCGGGGACAAAAGGCAGAAAGAGUGGAAAGCUUUCUGAGUGAUGGUACCCGGCGAGGAAGUCACGGCUAACUACGUGCCAGCAGCCGCGGUAAUACGUAGGUGGCGAGCGUUAUCCGGAAUGAUUGGGCGUAAAGGGUGCGCAGGCGGCCGGGCAAGUCCGCAGUAAAAACUGGAGGCUCAACCUUCAGGGGCUGCGGAAACUGUCCGGCUGGAGAGCAGGAGAGGACGGUGGAACUCCAUGUGUAGCGGUAAAAUGCGUAGAUAUAUGGAAGAACACCGGUGGCGAAGGCGGCCGUCUGGCCUGCAUCUGACGCUGAGGCACGAAAGCGUGGGGAGCAAAUAGGAUU